This 336-nucleotide unclassified non-coding RNA is filed under the name soil metagenome. RNAcentral describes it as "partial contains 5.8S ribosomal RNA, internal transcribed spacer 2, and large subunit ribosomal RNA". The stretch from base 1 to 120 matches the Rfam family "5.8S ribosomal RNA", at positions 35 to 154 of the family's 154-position model. The record is from RNAcentral.
GAUGAAGAACGUAGCGAAAUGCGAUAAGUAGUGUGAAUUGCAGAAUUCAGUGAAUCAUCGAAUCUUUGAACGCACAUUGCGCCCCUUGGUAUUCCAUGGGGCAUGCCUGUUCGAGCGUCAUUUGUACCUUCAAGCUUUGCUUGGUGUUGGGUGUUUGUCUCGCCUUUGCGUGUAGACUCGCCUUAAAAUAAUUGGCAGCCGGCGUAUUGAUUUCGGAGCGCAGUACAUCUCGCGCUUUGCAUUCAUAACGACAGCGUCCAAAAGUACAUUUUACACUCUUGACCUCGGAUCAGGUAGGGAUACCCGCUGAACUUAAGCAUAUCAAUAAGCGGAGGA